Molecule: long non-coding RNA, 307 nt
Filed under: Apteryx rowi (Okarito brown kiwi)
Lineage: Eukaryota; Metazoa; Chordata; Aves; Apterygiformes; Apterygidae
Description: lncRNA (ENSARWG00000003274.1)
Source: RNAcentral
UAAUCUCUACAUUGGUACCGUGGAUGGGAAACUGUGGAUCAUCAGUGGUGACCAGUUGCAUUUCAUUACCCAAAUGGGCCAGAAUAUGCCUGAAUGUGAAACUCCAGAUUCUCCAGAUUAAGAACCAAUGUGUGGCCGGCCUCAUGGAGCCCGAAUGGAUCAGGAUGGCAACUUGAUUGUGGUAGAUUCUUAUUUUGGCCUGUACAAAGUCAAUCCAAGGACAGGAGAGAAAACCAUCCUGCUAUCGAGUGAACAAGAUUCAAGUAACAAGUGGGAGAGACAGCAUCACAAAUAUGAGGUGAGAUGA